AGCGUACACGGUGGAUGCCCUGGCAGUCAGAGGCGAUGAAGGACGUGCUAAUCUGCGAUAAGCGUCGGUAAGGUGAUAUGAACCGUUAUAACCGGCGAUUUCCGAAUGGGGAAACCCAGUGUGAUUCGUCACACUAUCAUUAACUGAAUCCAUAGGUUAAUGAGGCGAACCGGGGGAACUGAAACAUCUAAGUACCCCGAGGAAAAGAAAUCAACCGAGAUUCCCCCAGUAGCGGCGAGCGAACGGGGAGGAGCCCAGAGCCUGAAUCAGUGUGUGUGUUAGUGGAAGCGUCUGGAAAGGCGCGCGAUACAGGGUGACAGCCCCGUACACAAAAAUGCACAUGCUGUGAGCUCGAUGAGUAGGGCGGGACACGUGGUAUCCUGUCUGAAUAUGGGGGGACCAUCCUCCAAGGCUAAAUACUCCUGACUGACCGAUAGUGAACCAGUACCGUGAGGGAAAGGCGAAAAGAACCCCGGCGAGGGGAGUGAAAAAGAACCUGAAACCGUGUACGUACAAGCAGUGGGAGCACGCUUAGGCGUGUGACUGCGUACCUUUUGUAUAAUGGGUCAGCGACUUAUAUUCUGUAGCAAGGUUAACCGAAUAGGGGAGCCGAAGGGAAACCGAGUCUUAACUGGGCGUUAAGUUGCAGGGUAUAGACCCGAAACCCGGUGAUCUAGCCAUGGGCAGGUUGAAGGUUGGGUAACACUAACUGGAGGACCGAACCGACUAAUGUUGAAAAAUUAGCGGAUGACUUGUGGCUGGGGGUGAAAGGCCAAUCAAACCGGGAGAUAGCUGGUUCUCCCCGAAAGCUAUUUAGGUAGCGCCUCGUGAAUUCAUCUCCGGGGGUAGAGCACUGUUUCGGCAAGGGGGUCAUCCCGACUUACCAACCCGAUGCAAACUGCGAAUACCGGAGAAUGUUAUCACGGGAGACACACGGCGGGUGCUAACGUCCGUCGUGAAGAGGGAAACAACCCAGACCGCCAGCUAAGGUCCCAAAGUCAUGGUUAAGUGGGAAACGAUGUGGGAAGGCCCAGACAGCCAGGAUGUUGGCUUAGAAGCAGCCAUCAUUUAAAGAAAGCGUAAUAGCUCACUGGUCGAGUCGGCCUGCGCGGAAGAUGUAACGGGGCUAAACCAUGCACCGAAGCUGCGGCAGCGACGCUUAUGCGUUGUUGGGUAGGGGAGCGUUCUGUAAGCCUGCGAAGGUGUGCUGUGAGGCAUGCUGGAGGUAUCAGAAGUGCGAAUGCUGACAUAAGUAACGAUAAAGCGGGUGAAAAGCCCGCUCGCCGGAAGACCAAGGGUUCCUGUCCAACGUUAAUCGGGGCAGGGUGAGUCGACCCCUAAGGCGAGGCCGAAAGGCGUAGUCGAUGGGAAACAGGUUAAUAUUCCUGUACUUGGUGUUACUGCGAAGGGGGGACGGAGAAGGCUAUGUUGGCCGGGCGACGGUUGUCCCGGUUUAAGCGUGUAGGCUGGUUUUCCAGGCAAAUCCGGAAAACUAAGGCUGAGGCGUGAUGACGAGGCACUACGGUGCUGAAGCAACAAAUGCCCUGCUUCCAGGAAAAGCCUCUAAGCAUCAGGUAACAUCAAAUCGUACCCCAAACCGACACAGGUGGUCAGGUAGAGAAUACCAAGGCGCUUGAGAGAACUCGGGUGAAGGAACUAGGCAAAAUGGUGCCGUAACUUCGGGAGAAGGCACGCUGAUAUGUAGGUGAAGUCCCUCGCGGAUGGAGCUGAAAUCAGUCGAAGAUACCAGCUGGCUGCAACUGUUUAUUAAAAACACAGCACUGUGCAAACACGAAAGUGGACGUAUACGGUGUGACGCCUGCCCGGUGCCGGAAGGUUAAUUGAUGGGGUCAGCGCAAGCGAAGCUCUUGAUCGAAGCCCCGGUAAACGGCGGCCGUAACUAUAACGGUCCUAAGGUAGCGAAAUUCCUUGUCGGGUAAGUUCCGACCUGCACGAAUGGCGUAAUGAUGGCCAGGCUGUCUCCACCCGAGACUCAGUGAAAUUGAACUCGCUGUGAAGAUGCAGUGUACCCGCGGCAAGACGGAAAGACCCCGUGAACCUUUACUAUAGCUUGACACUGAACAUUGAGCCUUGAUGUGUAGGAUAGGUGGGAGGCUUUGAAGUGUGGACGCCAGUCUGCAUGGAGCCGACCUUGAAAUACCACCCUUUAAUGUUUGAUGUUCUAACGUUGACCCGUGAUCCGGGUUGCGGACAGUGUCUGGUGGGUAGUUUGACUGGGGCGGUCUCCUCCUAAAGAGUAACGGAGGAGCACGAAGGUUGGCUAAUCCUGGUCGGACAUCAGGAGGUUAGUGCAAUGGCAUAAGCCAGCUUGACUGCGAGCGUGACGGCGCGAGCAGGUGCGAAAGCAGGUCAUAGUGAUCCGGUGGUUCUGAAUGGAAGGGCCAUCGCUCAACGGAUAAAAGGUACUCCGGGGAUAACAGGCUGAUACCGCCCAAGAGUUCAUAUCGACGGCGGUGUUUGGCACCUCGAUGUCGGCUCAUCACAUCCUGGGGCUGAAGUAGGUCCCAAGGGUAUGGCUGUUCGCCAUUUAAAGUGGUACGCGAGCUGGGUUUAGAACGUCGUGAGACAGUUCGGUCCCUAUCUGCCGUGGGCGCUGGAGAACUGAGGGGGGCUGCUCCUAGUACGAGAGGACCGGAGUGGACGCAUCACUGGUGUUCGGGUUGUCAUGCCAAUGGCACUGCCCGGUAGCUAAAUGCGGAAGAGAUAAGUGCUGAAAGCAUCUAAGCACGAAACUUGCCCCGAGAUGAGUUCUCCCUGACUCCUUGA
This 2787-nucleotide ribosomal RNA is filed under the name Escherichia coli. RNAcentral's name for it is "bacterial LSU rRNA". It matches the Rfam family "Bacterial large subunit ribosomal RNA". Lineage: Bacteria; Pseudomonadati; Pseudomonadota; Gammaproteobacteria; Enterobacterales; Enterobacteriaceae. The record is from RNAcentral.